CCUCCGAUAGCUCAAUGGUAGAGCGCCUGAUGUAUGUUGGCUGAGCGACCGUAUCUACACAUGUACAGUCGAGAGAUGUUGGUUCGAUUCCAACUCGGAGGA
Transfer RNA from Stereum hirsutum FP-91666 SS1, 102 nucleotides. It matches the Rfam family "tRNA". From Rfam's summary of the family: Transfer RNA (tRNA) molecules are approximately 80 nucleotides in length. Their secondary structure includes four short double-helical elements and three loops (D, anti-codon, and T loops). The record is from Rfam. Lineage: Eukaryota; Fungi; Basidiomycota; Agaricomycetes; Russulales; Stereaceae.